RNAcentral lists this long non-coding RNA (237 nucleotides) under Neogale vison (American mink). RNAcentral's name for it is "Neovison vison (American mink) lncRNA (ENSNVIG00000013200.1)". Lineage: Eukaryota; Metazoa; Chordata; Mammalia; Carnivora; Mustelidae. The record is from RNAcentral.
AUGGGGCAUAGCGGAGCAAAUACAGCUGAAUCUGAGAUGAGAACAUACUUUGGAAACAACCAAGGAGCAUGAAGGAAUUUAUCCCCAAGGCCAAGAGUGCCAUCUUGUGGCUUCCAUAGGUCCAAGUUCAUACUCUCCUGAUCCAUACUAAAUGUAAAAGAAGAUAAUUUUUCCUCCUGGAAUCACCUACUCCAGUCCUGGGAUUCAUAGGCCAUCUUGAGGCAGGUACCUCCCUUA